GCAGUCUGGGAUCAUGGCUCCCUGCAUCCCUACCUUCCAGCUUCAGCUGUGGCUCAAAGGGCCCAGGUACAGCUUGAGCCACAGCUCCAGAGGGUGUAAGCCGUAAGCCUUGGCGGCUUCUACAAGAGAACCCUGACUAAUAGUCUCUUAAGACACCAGAACCACCAAAAUCUGAUUAUCUCUGAAGACACUAAGUCAUCUGGACAAGAAUCUGGCAAAAAUAUUACAUGCCAUCAAAGCAAAGAUUACUUACACCAAGUAAAUAUUCAAGGAAAUUGCCUGCCAGGCGAGGUGUCAGAGCCCCAGCAAUGGAAAGCAAUUUGCUCGUGGGUAGUAAGAAGAAUUUACCCACAGCUGUAUAGUUAUACAAAGGAACAACUUUGUGUCCUUCCAUCACUGCAUAUUUGCCAAUAAGACAAAAAGGUAUGAUUUACGUUUUCUUUUCUACUUUCUUGAGAUGAAUACUUAAGCUGCUGUUUGUUACACUUUUUUUGGCUGCUAGCAAGAUGGCCGAAUAGGAACAGUCCCAUCUGCAGCUCUCCAGCGAGAACAACUCAGGAGGUGGAUGAUUUCUGCAUUUCCAACUAAGGCACACAGAUUCUCUCGCCACUCCAUGCUGACAGUUCCAGGAGAUAGGAGAAGGGCUGCAUUGGCAAUUCAGGAUUGUCUUUCCUACCUUCUUCAGUACCUCUUUCCUUAACAUGAUGAUAAAACCAGAGAAAGAUAGAAAGCUUGACAACUGCUGCUCCAUUUGGCUCUGUUUAAAAAGAGGAAGAAAGUGACCAGAAGGAUGACAAAAUGGUUACUUGCCCUCAGAGGUCAUAAAAGACCUUGAAAACCCCUAAUGAUGUAAAAGUAGGAAUUAUUAUUUCCUCUCUUGUUUUGAUAGUGGACUCAGCUUCUCUCUAUAACAGAUGGCCUUUUAGGUAAAUGCUAGUGGAUCUUUCCUUGACCUGUUCCUAAGCUGAGAAGUCUUCUGUAUGCAGAGGAGACAAUGCUGAGCCUCGUUUGCUUAUGGAUACUCUGCAAUAGAUAAGGCAGCAGUCUUGGAAACAGCAGAUGGCAUAAACAGGCAUUGUGCCAGUUCAUAAUUACGACCUGGUAGGCCCAGGGAAGCAGUCGUGUGCAUCUCAGAACUGGAACUAACUGGAUCUAUGUUUUUGCUCUGUUACUCUAUUCUUUCCCAUGUAUGUAGUUUCUGAUAUGGCCAUGAGGACAACAAAGAAGGUGUGUGUGUGUGUGUGUGUGUGUGUGUGUGUGUAUUUUUAAUUUUCAAUAGAUUGAAUAGAAACCAAAGU
Molecule: long non-coding RNA, 1298 nt
Organism: Pan troglodytes (chimpanzee)
Lineage: Eukaryota; Metazoa; Chordata; Mammalia; Primates; Hominidae
Exons: 8
Source: RefSeq, a predicted model, not a curated record